AGAGUUUGAUCCUGGCUCAGGAUGAACGCUGGCGGCAUGCCUAAUACAUGCAAGUCGAACGAGAGGAAGGAGAGCUUGCUUUCCUGAAUCUAGUGGCGAACGGGUGAGUAACACGUAGGUAACCUGCCCAUGUGCCCGGGAUAACUUCUGGAAACGGAUGCUAAAACCGGAUAGGUAGCAGACAAGCAUUUGACUGCUAUUAAAGUGGCUAAGGCCAUGAACAUGGAUGGACCUGCAGUGCAUUAGCUAGUUGGUGAGGUAACGGCCCACCAAGGCGACGAUGCAUAGCCGGCCUGAGAGGGCGGACGGCCACAUUGGGACUGAGACACGGCCCAAACUCCUACGGGAGGCAGCAGUAGGGAAUUUUCGUCAAUGGGGGGAACCCUGAGCGAGCAAUGCCGCGUGAGUGAGGAAGGUCUUCGGAUCGUAAAGCUCUGUUGUAAGAGAAAAACGACAUUCAUAGGGAAUGAUGAGUGAGUGAUGGUAUCUUACCAGAAAGUCACGGCUAACUACGUGCCAGCAGCCGCGGUAAUACGUAGGUGGCGAGCGUUAUCCGGAAUGAUUGGGCGUAAAGGGUGCGUAGGUGGCAGAUCAAGUCUGGAGUAAAAGGUAUGGGCUCAACCCGUACUGGCUCUGGAAACUGAUCAGCUAGAGAACAGAAGAGGACGGCGGAACUCCAUGUGUAGCGGUAAAAUGCGUAGAUAUAUGGAAGAACACCGGUGGCGAAGGCGGCCGUCUGGUCUGGAUUCUGACACUGAAGCACGAAAGCGUGGGGAGCAAAUAGGAUUAGAUACCCUAGUAGUCCACGCCGUAAACGAUGAGAACUAGGUGUUGGGGGAAUAACUCAGUGCCGCAGUUAACGCAGUAAGUUCUCCGCCUGGGGUGUAUGCACGCAAGUGUGAAACUCAAAGGAAUUGACGGGGGCCCGCACAAGCGGUGGAGUAUGUGGUUUAAUUCGAAGCAACGCGAAGAACCUUACCAGGCCUUGACAUCCCUUGCAGAGGUAUAGAGAUAUAUCCGAGGUUACCAAGGAGACAGGUGGUGCAUGGUUGUCGUCAGCUCGUGUCGUGAGAUGUUGGGUUAAGUCCCGCAACGAGCGCAACCCUUGUGAUAUGUUACUAACAUUGAGUUGAGGACUCAUAUCAGACUGCCGGUGAUAAACCGGAGGAAGGUGGGGAUGACGUCAAAUCAUCAUGCCCCUUAUGGCCUGGGCUACACACGUACUACAAUGGCGUCUAC
Molecule: ribosomal RNA, 1239 nt
Filed under: metagenome
Description: bacterial SSU rRNA
Rfam family: Bacterial small subunit ribosomal RNA
Source: RNAcentral